GACGAACGCUGGCGGCGUGCCUAAUACAUGCAAGUUGAGCGCUGAAGGUUGGUACUUGUACCAACUGGAUGAGCAGCGAACGGGUGAGUAACGCGUGGGGAAUCUGCCUUUGAGCGGGGGACAACAUUUGGAAACGAAUGCUAAUACCGCAUAAAAACUUUAAACACAAGUUUUAAGUUUGAAAGAUGCAAUUGCAUCACUCAAAGGUGAUCUCGCGUUGUAUUAGUUAGUUGGUGAGGUAAAGGCUCACCAAGGCGAUGAUACAUAGCCGACCUGAGAGGGCGAUCAGCCACAUUGGGACUGUGACACGGCCCAAACUCCUACGGGAAGCAGCAGUAGUGCAACUUCGGCCAUGGACGAAAGUCUGACCGAGCAACGCCGCGGCAGUAAAGAAGGGUUUCGGAUCGUAAAACUCUGUUUGUAGAGAAUAACGUUGGUGAGAGUGGAAAGCUCAUCAAGUGACGGUAACUACCCAGAAAGGGACGGCUAACUACGUG
RNAcentral lists this ribosomal RNA (497 nucleotides) under uncultured bacterium. RNAcentral's name for it is "partial 16S ribosomal RNA". It matches the Rfam family "Bacterial small subunit ribosomal RNA", at positions 28 to 507 of the family's 1533-position model. The record is from RNAcentral.